AUCCUCCUGCUGCAGCCUCCCAAGUAUCUAGGAUUUCAGGUGUGUGCCACCAUACCCAGUUACUAAUAAAUUCUUCAUAAAACUAUUGGAUAAAGAGGCUAAGCCCAAAUCUUGUAUUAAUAAGUGGAUUUACUUUAACUGAACUUAUAGUCCUCCUCAAACUGAUACUAUCAAAAGAAUUUAGAAAUGUUCAUAUUUGUUAAGAGCUCUCUACCAGACAAAACGACCUCAAAGGCCCUACAUUCUAAAAUGGCUCCCCUUCCUAAAAUGGUUCCCGCUUAUGGAAAUGAGCCACUUUGGAAAAGUGAAACCUACUCCCUCUGGAGAAGCAAAACUUAACUUGUUGCUCCACCCUGCUACCCACGUGAUCCUCCCCUUCCAAUCAGCCGGAGUCCCAUUGCCCAACUCUCAAGAUACUCUCCCAGCUGCACCGCCCUAUAUAAACCUCACCCCCAGUUAGUCUCCUUCUCUCUCACCCAUAAAUCCCUGCCUUGGAUGCUCCUGUAUCGGCUUGUUUUCUUUCAUUCUGGUGCUGAAACUCCAGAAGGCAAUGGUCGGGUUUUCUUGACAAUCUCCCGCUGGCCGGGGUUGCUGACACCCCCAAUCCACAUCUGUGCCUAAUCUCUGGCAGGUGGACCAAAGAAGGACCAGGACAUGAACUCCCCCAUACAGAUUGCCAGGAAGAUAGCUUAAAGAACAGAAAGCAUUGUUUGAAAGGAACUGAAACCCAAAGAUAAAGAAGCCAUGAAGUAUUUCUCCUCUGCGAUGUCCCUCUGCCAUGCCACCCGGCCUUAGAGACAGCGGACCAUGGACUGAAACUUCUACAAAUUCCAACCACUUCCUGGUGUGCGCUGUAAUAACAGGCAGCUGUCCUGUCGGCCCCACUGAAAAAUGAGAUAAUAAGGCAGGCAAAUGAUGUCCUUUAUGUCGAGAAUCUACCACUUCCUGCAGUUUUCUUCUCAAAUGCUGAAGAAAAAUAAGUGUCAGAGAAGACCAAAGCAACCAUGAUCCAAAUAAAACCAUUAACUAAUCUCAAAGCCAGAACCAGCACCAGCCUAAUCCUCCUUCCAAAACAAAUAACCAAAGAGAGUAGUGGAGAUGGUAGCAUUUUCAAUUUUGCAAAAUAUUACAAAAACCAUAUAGAUGAUUUGAUGAAACUGUCAUAGAAGAGAGAAGACAGUGUGCCAAAGAUCUGCUGCAGUUCUCUGCCAACAUUCCCGUUCUUUAAAACAAGUAACCAUCUCAUUUCAUCAAAUAUCGGUAAACCCUGAAACCAGAGCCUGAAAUCAGCUCUCCUUUUCCCAGUAAACUGUUGCCUGCAUUCUGCAGCGAAGUGCCCUGAAGAUAAAGGACUCCUGACAUUACUCAGAAGGAAAGGCUGACAGGGAUUCUUACCUCCUGGCUGCUGGCUGAAGGGCAACGCCCCAGGAUGGUCAGGAGAAAGGCCGAGUUAGCAGCCAUGCGGGCUGGCUCCAUUCUUCCACCCCCUUCCCUGUUACUGGCCUGGCCUCUUCCCUAGGUCCCUCGGGUCUCGCCUCAGAGGGUCAGGACUCAGCUGAGGCUGCCCCAGAAGUGUCUCUGAGGGGUUUCUUGCUUCUGUUGUUGCCCUGCUGAGCCGGAACCCAGGGCCUGGCACAGGACACUGUGCUACACCUCCAGUCCCCCACUGAGGCUUUCUUGCUGUAACUUUUCUGUAUUUACCUCAGGUAUCUCAACUUGUGCUUUUUAAGCUGGCUGUUAAUUCACUUACACAUUAUUUCUUAGAAAAGUCCUACCAGAGACUCUUUAAAAAGUAUAUUCUGGGUUGACAGUCAAGUAUGCAUGAGGCCCUGAAAGAGUGAACUAACUCCUGGUCACACCCAACUAGGUCUGUUCCUAACCUCCAGUUGUGGCCAAAUCAGGUAACCACCCUGGGUCUCAGUCUCCUCCAAAGGGGUCUGGAAACAACUGGGAAGGAGGUCCCUUAGGAGAAGAGAGUCAGGUGGCAGGACAGGAAAGGGCCUGUGAUACUUGCUUGAGACCAGCUUCCCCUUGCUCCUGUGGGAACCCUGGAGUGCAGUCUGGUCCUGGAGUUGAUGCACCAGAGGUAACCAUGGGGCAAGGCUGUCCCCUUAGGCUGAGCAAAUCUACAAAAAAAUGUAGAAUGUGACAGAAGCAUCAGCAGCCAUCAGAAGCCAAUUCCUGGGGACCUGGAGAUAGGAUAAGGUGGGUUAAACACACACAGUGUCACUGCAAUGAUAGUGUUGUGGCAAAGUGGAACAGCUCAGCAUUACAGUCAAGUGGUACAGCUCAAGUGCUACAGCUAUAGCAAUUUGAAGACUCAAGAAUCCAAAAGUUACUCAAAGAAUUACAGAAAAAUCUUUAUUAGCUGGCUAGCUCAGAGGAGCUUGACUGCUCAGAAUUCUGAGCCCAGAGUUGCAGUAGUAGUCAGCUUAUAUACAGCUGGGAAGAGGAAAUUGAGAGGAACCUUUUAGGACAGAGACAUAGCUCGAAGCAGGAACCUCUGGGGUGAAGUUAACAGAACAGACACUUUUGAUACAUUGAGCAGGUACAUUGGGGAGCACAAACAGUUACAGAACAUUAUGAUACAUUGAGCAGGAACACCAUGCAGCACAAAAGGUUACAUUGAUGGAAUAGAACAGUUUAUGGCAAAACAUGGGGGCAGGGCAAAGGCUUGACCUAUUGUAUAAUACUGCUUUAUCAAUAACAAUAGAUCCUGGCAUUCGUGGAGCACUUACUACUGCUUUUCCUCGAAAAUAAAACCUAGCUGGAAAAUAACUCCUAUCGUGAUUUUUCAGGAUGCUCAUAAUAUAAGCCCUGCCUCCCAAAAUAGGCCCCAGUUCAGAUGUCAGCCAGAUGGAUGCAUUUAUUACAUCCUUUAUAAUACAUGACAGACAUAUUGAAUUAUAAAAUAAUAUUAAUAUAUAAUUAAAUAUAAAUAUUAUUGACAUGAAUACUUAAAUGAUAAUAUAAAUUAUAAUUAGGUAUUUGUAAAUACCCAAGUGGGUGCCUUCGGAUGAGAGGUAAACACUUACAUCAACAAAUGAACUUAAGACUUAUUGUUGAAUGACUAAUUGGAAUAUGGACAUAACACACGAAUAACAUGCACACUUGAUAAUGAACAGAUGUGGUUGUGUCUAGUAUAAAUCCUUGUAAUUCAAUUCAUCAUGUGUUGUAAUGGACGUAUUUAAUGCACUCAUGUGAAAUAAAGAAACAUUUUCUGAUUUUUA
Molecule: non-coding RNA, 3230 nt
Organism: Heterocephalus glaber (naked mole-rat)
Lineage: Eukaryota; Metazoa; Chordata; Mammalia; Rodentia; Bathyergidae
Source: RefSeq, a predicted model, not a curated record